GACGAACGCUGGCGGCGUGCCUAAUACAUGCAAGUCGAACGCAGUGGGGACGGGUGAGUAACACGUGGGUAACCUCCCAUCAGAGGGGAUAACACUUGGAAACAGGUGCUAAACCGAUACUGAUGGAUGGUCCCGCGGUGCAUUAGCUAGUUGGUGAGGUAACGGCUCCCCAAGGCCACGAUGCAUAGCCGACCUGAGGGUGUGAUCGGGCACACUGAGACGGAGACACUGCCCUGACUCCUACGUGAGGCAGCAGUAGGGAAUCUUCGGCAAGUGACGAAAGUCUGACCGGGCCACGCCGCGUGAGUUAAGCGGGUUUUCGGAUCGUACAACUCUGUUGUUAGAGUAGCGGUAUCUAACCAGAAGGCCACGGCUAACUACGUGCCAGCAGCCGCGGUAAUUC
RNAcentral lists this ribosomal RNA (403 nucleotides) under uncultured bacterium. RNAcentral's name for it is "partial 16S ribosomal RNA". It matches the Rfam family "Bacterial small subunit ribosomal RNA", at positions 28 to 526 of the family's 1533-position model. The record is from RNAcentral.